UUGCGUUUUCUGAAUCCUAAUUUUCUCUGAUGUUGUUUGUUUCUUAUGUUUUAAAGGGUGGAUCAUCCUCCUCCGACACCUAUUAUGAUAGUCAGGAUUCACAGGAUUUCUCAGAUGAUAAUCCCAAUGCCUGUGAUGAUAAUGACACUACAUACAGCGCUAAUAGUCGGAGUUCUGGCUGUGUGAAGAGGAAAGUUGUUGUCAGAGAUACUUCACAUGUUUUAAGCAAACGAGACUAUGAUGUCCAGGGUGGAUCAUUCAUUGCAGCUGGUGGUGGAUCAAGUGGUCAGGGUGGUUGCAUUUGUCCUGAUGGAAGCAGCGGUGUUAGACAGGUGAUUCUUUUUCCUUAAUUUAUAUUUAACUCUAGAUAACAGAAUAUUUUGAAUGAAUCACCUUGUAAG
Molecule: long non-coding RNA, 401 nt
Filed under: Coturnix japonica (Japanese quail)
Lineage: Eukaryota; Metazoa; Chordata; Aves; Galliformes; Phasianidae
Description: lncRNA (ENSCJPG00005000120.1)
Source: RNAcentral